This is a long non-coding RNA of Parasteatoda tepidariorum (common house spider), 404 nucleotides long. RefSeq lists it as uncharacterized. The record is from RefSeq and is a predicted model, not a curated record. Lineage: Eukaryota; Metazoa; Arthropoda; Arachnida; Araneae; Theridiidae.
AAAGAGACAUCUGGACUGACGGUGUAGUAAAACUCAAAUUUAUAGAAAGAUCCCUUAAAGGGAGGGUUUGACUACCGGCGGGUUUUGUAGGGAAGGUACUGUUUAAGGAUGCUCCGCACCUUAGAACUCACCUUUCAGACUCCCAAACCAUCGGACUGAGAGCAAAGAAAUUUGGAAUACUGAUAGUUCGAAGCACGGGAUAUUUUGUGAAACCCUGUAUGGUUUGUCAAGUGUAGAAGGAAGGAGAUGCAAUAUCAUUCUUAUGAUUGAAAUUAAAAAUGUAAAUGAAUAAUGUUCUAAAUGUUACACUUGAUAUUAUAUGUUUUAUUUUUUAAAUUUAUUCCUGUAUUAUUUAAAAUUCAAAAUACGUUUAAAGCCUAAAACAAAAAUAAUAGGGUAUAUGA